CGCCUUCUGGAGUUUGGCAGAGGGGGGUAGAAUUCCACGUGUAGCAGUGAAAUGCGUAGAGAUGUGGAGGAAUACCGAUGGCGAAGGCAGCCCCCUGGGCCAAUACUGACGCUCAUGCACGAAAGCGUGGGGAGCAAACAGGAUUAGAUACCCUGGUAGUCCACCCCCUAAACGAUGUCAACUAGGUGUUGGAGGGGUUAAACCUUUUAGUGCCGUAGCUAACG
This 224-nucleotide ribosomal RNA is filed under the name uncultured Candidatus Accumulibacter sp. RNAcentral's name for it is "partial 16S ribosomal RNA". It matches the Rfam family "Bacterial small subunit ribosomal RNA", at positions 635 to 857 of the family's 1533-position model. The record is from RNAcentral. Lineage: Bacteria; Pseudomonadati; Pseudomonadota; Betaproteobacteria.